GACGAACGCUGGCGGCGUGCCUAACACAUGCAAGUCGAACGGAGAUAUGAUUUCGGUUGUAUCUUAGUGGCGAACGGGUGAGUAACGCGUGAGCAACCUGACUCUUAGAGGGGGGAUAACACCCGGAAACGAGUGCUAAUACCGCAUAAGACCACGACAUGGCAUCAUGACGAGGUCAAAGGAGCAAUCCGCUGAGAGAGGGGCUCGCGUCCCAUUAGAUAGAUGGCGGGGUAAUGGCCCACCAUGUCAGCGAUGGGUAGCCGAGCUGAGAGGCUGAUCGGCCACACUGGAACUGAGACACGGUCCAGACUCCUACGGGAGGCAGCAGUGGGGAAUAUUGGGCAAUGGGCGCAAGCCUGACCCAGCAACGCCGCGUGAGGGAAGAAGGCUUUCGGGUUGUAAACCUCUGUCCUUGGUGACGAAAAAAAAUGACGGUAGCCAAGGAGGAAGCCCCGGCUAACUACGUG
This 467-nucleotide ribosomal RNA is filed under the name uncultured bacterium. RNAcentral's name for it is "bacterial SSU rRNA". It matches the Rfam family "Bacterial small subunit ribosomal RNA", at positions 28 to 507 of the family's 1533-position model. The record is from RNAcentral.